GUACCAUGAUUUGAAUGAAUGUUGAUGUCCUGAGGACGUGUGAUAACAUAAAAAUCAUGUUCAUAAGGAUUACAUUGGGGCCC
Molecule: small nucleolar RNA, 83 nt
Organism: Vulpes vulpes (red fox)
Lineage: Eukaryota; Metazoa; Chordata; Mammalia; Carnivora; Canidae
Gene: SNORD115
Rfam family: Small nucleolar RNA SNORD115
About the family: HBII-52 is a member of the C/D class of snoRNAs, which contain the C (UGAUGA) and D (CUGA) box motifs. HBII-52 is encoded in a tandemly repeated array with another C/D snoRNA, HBII-85, in the Prader-Willi syndrome (PWS) region of chromosome 15.
Source: Ensembl